This 378-nucleotide ribosomal RNA is filed under the name uncultured bacterium. RNAcentral describes it as "partial 16S ribosomal RNA". It matches the Rfam family "Bacterial small subunit ribosomal RNA", at positions 338 to 713 of the family's 1533-position model. The record is from RNAcentral.
CCUACGGGAGGCAGCAGUGAGGAAUAUUGGUCAAUGGACGAGAGUCUGAACCAGCCAAGUAGCGUGAAGGAUGACGGCCAGAGGGGUGGUAAACUUCUUUUAUAUGGGAAUAAAACAGGGUAUGCAUACCCUCUUGUAUGUACCAUAUGAAUAAGGAUCGGCUAACUCCGUGCCAGCAGCCGCGGUAAUACGGAGGAUCCGAGCGUUAUCCGGAUUUAUUGGGUUUAAAGGGAGCGUAGGUGGAUUGUUAAGUAAGUUGUGAAAGUUUGCGGCUCAACCGUAAAAUUGCAGUUGAAACUGGCAGUCUUGAGUACAGUAGAGGUGUGAGGAAUGCGUGGGGUAGCGGUAAAAUGCUUAGAUAUCACGAAGAACUCCGAU